UGAUAUGUUGGUGGUCGUACUGUCUGUUGUUUUCUUUCCAAUAUGACGUCCUUUCGGACAUGGCUUUUCAGCUACCGAUCGACGACCUUUUUGUUAGAAACGGAUGCAACAGGUUACAUAAAACUUAAACCGGUUAACCUUUUAUUGUAACUGGAAUCGCGUGCUUUUGACACGACGGAGUAAAGGAUUUGGAAAUAAAGAUGUGACGGAAUCGAAGGCAUUGCUUCCCAAUGGUAUAGGGCCUCCGACCAGCUCGCUCCAGUCGCCUCGUGUAUUGCUGAUGCGUGUUCUGAAGUCUGCCUCCGUUCCUGCAUUUUUGUCCAGGAUGCUGCCGAUAUUAAGCUUUUCUCUAUCUUCCAACGCCCCGUAUUGGGCUGUGAUGUGUGUGCCGUUGAAUUCGUUGCUAUAAAACACAUUGCUUGUCCAUCUAUUGAUGAACAGACUAAUGCACUUGAGAUGGCCGCAACGAUCUUGGUCUGUUUUCAUUUGUUUUUGGGCGUGAGAGAGAAAAGCCAGAUCGUCGGCAAUGUCGAGGUCACCCAACUGCUUCCAAAGCAUUUGACAGGAUUCCGUUUUGCAUCUGGUCGGUCAGUUUCUUCGUGACCCAGUCUAUGGUCAGCAGGAACAGGAAAGAAAGCCUACACGAUGGCAACACAGGCUACAUCCAAGACAUCUGUCCAUUCCGCCGCUCCCCUGCUGCUAAGUCGUUGCAUUUCCGGUGUGACCUGAUAGUCAGCGGUCCCUCGUACUGAACAGGGCUUGAUGACACCCACUUCCGACCUGCGAGCAUGUUCAUCGAAUAAAAAACGGCAACGUUUAUGCAAGCAAUUCCAAAGACGCCAACGCUGCCAUAGACUUGAACGAUCCCAAAGACCCCAACGCUUCCAUAGACUUCAACAAUUCCAAAGACGUCAACGCUUCCAUAGACUUCAACAAUUCCAAAGACGUCGAGGAUUACACUGCCUUCAAGAUAAAAGAAACGUAACCGCCUAUAUAAACUCAAGAUGCACUGAUGUUUCCAUCGCAAACAGACACACCAUCGGAACUGUGCGAUCACGUGUCAUGUGAUGAAUCAUCGGAACUGUAAGAUCCAUGUCAUGUAAUGUACCAUCGAAACUGUGCGAUCACGUGUCAUGUGAUGUACCAUCAGAACUGUGCGAUCCAUGUCAUGUGAUGUACCAUCGUAACUGUGCGAUCACGUGUCAUGUGAUGUACCAUCGGAACUGUGAUAUCCAUGCCAUGUGAUGUACCAUCGUAACUGUGCGAUCACGUGUCAUUUGAUGUACCAUCGGAACUGUGCGAUCAAUGCCAUGUGAUGUACCAUUGGAACUGUGAGAUCCCAUGUCAUGUGAUGUACCAUCGGAACUGUGCGAUCCAUGUCAUGUGAUGUACCAUCGGAGCUGUGAGAUCCCAUGUCAUGUGAUGUACCAUCGGAACUGUGCAAACCAUUUCAUGUGCUGUACCAUCGGAACUGUGCGAUCACGUGUCAUGAGAUAUACCAUCGAACCUGUGGGAUCCCCUGUCAUGUGAUGUACCAUCGGAACUGUGCGAUCAGGUGUCAUAUGACGUACCAUCGGAACUGUGAGAUCCAUGUCAUGUGAUGUACCAUCGGAACUGAUAUCCCAUGUCAUGUGAUGUACCAUCGGAACUCUGCGAUCCAUGUGAUGUACCAUCGUAACUGUGCAAUCACGUGUCAUGUGAUGUACCAUCGGAACUGUGCGAUCCAUGUCAUGUGAUGUACCAUCGGCAUUGUGAGAUCCCAUGUCAUGUGAUGUACCAUCGGAACUGUGCAAUCCAUGUCAUGUACCUUCGGAACUGUGAGAUCCAUGGCAUGUGAUGUACCAUCGGAGCUGUGAAAUCCCAUGUCAUGUGAUGUACCAUCGGAACUGUGCAAUCCAUGUCAUGUGAUGUACCAUCGGAACUGUGCGAUCACGUGUCAAGUGAUGUACCAUCGAACUUUUGAGAUCCCCUGUCCUGUGAUGUACCAUCGGAACUGUGCGAACAGGUGUCAUGUGACAUACCAUCGGAACUGUGAGAUCCAUGUCAUGUGAUGUACCAUCGGAACUGUGAUAAUCCUAGUCAUGUGAUGUACCAUCGGAACUGUGCGAUCCAUGUGAUGUACCAUCGUAACUGUGCGAUCACGUGUCAUGUGAUGUACCAUCGGAACUGUGCGAUCAAUGUCAUGGGAUUUACCAUCGAAACUGUGAUAUCCCAUGUCAUGUGAUGUACCAUCGGAAUGUGCGAUCACGUGUCAUGUGAUGUACCAUCGGAAAUGUGCGAUCACUUGUCAUGUGAUGAACGAUCGAAACUGUGAGAUCCUAUUAUGCGACCUAUGUCAUGUGAUGUACCAUCGGAGCUAUGCGAUCAGGUGUCAUGUGAUGUACCAUCGGAACUGUGAGAUUCAUGUCUUGUGAUGUACCAUCGGAACUGUGCAAUCACGUGUCAUGUGAUGUAUCAUUGGAACUGUGAGAUCCCAUGACAUGUGAUAUACCAUCGGAACUGUGCGAUCAUGUGAUGUACCAUCAGAACUGUGAGAUCCGUGUCAUGUAAUGGACCAUCGGAACUGUGCGAUCACGUGUCAUGUGAUGUACCAUCGGAACGGAUCCCAUGUCAUGCGAUGUACCAUCGGGGCUGUUAGAUAACGUGACGUUUGAUGUACCAUCGGAACUGUGAGAUCCAUGUCAUGUGAUGUACCAUCGGAUCUGUGAGAUACCGUAUAUUGUGAUGUAUCUUCUACAUUACUGCUAUCACUGGUCAUGUGAUGCUUCGUCGACAAAACUUCCACCAUGUCAUUGGAACACAGAGACCACACGUUAUUGAAUGCAUCUACGUCAUCACACCUAUCACGUGUAAUGUGACGUACCAUUGCCAACACUGCUAUCACCUGCCAUGAGACUUACCAUCGACUACGCCGCCUAUCUCGUGCCGUGCGACGUGCAUAGAGCCCAUAUUAUUGGGAAUAACAAACUCAUGCAAAUAACAUAAAUAUUUAUUUUUCAAAUAGUUUUCGAACUUCGGUGAGUCAAAUAGCGCAUAGUUCGAUUUAACAAUUUCUGAUUUGAUAUAAUUUAAUAUAAAAUUUUGUCGUCUAAAUUCUAAAUGUCGUUUUUUAAUUCUUGAUUUUAUAUUUAUUUAAAAUGUACAAAUUCUUUCUAAAAAUUACACGACUCACCGAAGCUCGAGCUUGUAUUCGCUUAUUAAUUGAAAAUUGUAUUUAUCUAAUUACAUUUGGCAAAAUAUGCAAACAUCGUGCACAUAUCCCGUGGUCUAUGAUCAAACUAUUUACAACAAAUGCAACAGCCAUAUGCCAGACAACACAACUGGUAAAAAGGCAGGUUUGUUUAAAGAUUUAGGUUAGAUUCACUUUCUGAAUCCGAUUGAUUUAACAAUAUCGCAUUUAAAAUAUUCAAACGGAUAAAGGAUAUUUUGACGGAUAACUUUUUAAUGAAAAGUGAAUUCGUUGUACAAGGAGUGGACAUUGAAUCGUGCACGUGUUGGUGUGUUUGACGUCAGAAACCACGCGGUGUGUGCACUUCGGUUCUCUGGUAGUUUUAUUGAAAUAUCGGUAAGCUUAAUAAUAAACGGUCGCUCUUUACUCGAGCGGCGAACCGCGCGGAACUGAAAGACGGUUCCGCUAGCCUCGAUUCCCACAUAUCUACAGAAUAACGGCCCGGUGUUUGCUUUCUGAAUCCCAUUAAGCCGUGUGUCUUGUGUUUUGCUUAUUGCAUCCCAAAGAGCACUUUUGCAGGCAGUUGAAGAACCCAGAUUGAUUCAAGUGUAGUGCGGGUGAUUGGUAAUUAAAAAAUGUUGGUGAGAUUUAACUAAUUUGCAGAUUGCAUCAACAAGUUCUGUGUCUGAAUUCAUUUGGGGAUCAAACGGGGUCUAUGAGUAAUUCUUCAUGUUAGGGGCUCAUAUUUAUACAGAUCUUGUACAAUUUUAUCACCAUACAAAUAACUCCUUUGUCAGGCUUGUUUAUAAAAUAAUAAAUGCGUUUGAAUUCUCUCUUUCAAACAAAAGAAUAUAAUGCUUCAAAGAUAAAGCACUCGUGAAACCUUAAGCAUAUAAUAACACCUAGUGUUCUUUCCCUUUGAUGAAAAUUUUAAACAAACUGACGCCGUGUGUUUUUAAUUGUCCAUAUAUGGUAUAAUAUAUAGUGUGUCAGGGGAAAUGUCGGCAUGUGUAUGAGGAAAUUGUUUACUAAGGGAUAGAAUCCUGUCAACGGGAUGCUAAUUCAAGAAAAGAAAUAUUUGAAACAGUUUACAGAGAAAUUUCUCGAGCUGACAAAGCGGUUAUCUUAAAUACUUAUUUAACAUACUUUAAAUUACAACUUCAGUGCGGUGAGAAAACCCUUUUGAAGUUCGGCCGGUAAUUUAAUCGCUACCCAAGAUAAAGUGUGCUCUCCCAGGCUUUAUAUCUUCCUGGUCGCAUAAGUGCAAUGGCAUUGAACAUGAGCCAGAUCCUAUAAAUAAUUUUAAAUACCAAAACUGCUGGGUCGCACUAUUGAAAUUCGAUGUAAAGAUAAUGCAAAUAAAUCAUAUUUGCGUCAAUCUUGGGUUACAAUUUCUGCACAGUUAAGCAAACACAAAAGAUUAGUAAAUACAUGAACAAAUCUGUAUACCAGGCAUCUGAAGACGCAAUACUUAACUUGUAUUAUUUAAAUUGGAAGCAUGUUUUAUAAUUUUUAUCUGCGCGUGGGAAUUGAUUUAAACAAAUGCGCAAUAAGUCUGAGCACUAAAAAUGAACGUUUAAGCAGUAAGAGCAAAGAAUCAUACAUGCAAAUAAAUUGUAAUCAGAUGGCCAUAAAGAUGUGGCUAGGAUUUUAAAAAUCUUACACUGGUUUCAAUAUUACCUUUUUAUAAAAUAUUGCCUUAAUAGUACUGUUUGUCAAGGGCGCGAAAGUGUGCACACAAGUGUCAUAGUAUGUGACCUUGCUCUGAUAACCACAUUCUGUAAGAUCGGUAUUGUUCGGGUAUUGUCAAUGUGUUUUGUGAGUCUCAUUUUCUAAUGUAGUGGGUAUAAUCAAUUGGCUAUGUGGGUUUGGGUUCUGAUAUCGUGUGUAUAAUCACGGAUUCUGUCGAUUUUUGGUUCUGAUACAAAGGGUAUAGUCAGAGGGCUCUGUGGGUCUCGGGCUUUUAUAAAAAUGGUAUUGUCACCGGGUUGUAUGGGUCUCCUUUUCUGAUGUAAAGGGUACAGUCAGUGGGUUAUAUGGUUCUAGGUUUCUGAUAUAAAGGGCAUAGUCAGCGGAUUAUGUGUGUCUCGGGUUCAUAAGGAUAUAGUCACUGGUGUUUUUGGAUCUUGGGUUCUAAUAUAGGGGGCAAAGUCACCUAGCUCUGUAGGUCUUGAGUAUUUAUAUAGAGGGUUUAGUCCCAAGGGUUCUGUGGGUAUCGGGUACUGGUAAGGUGGAUUAAGCAACCGCCCUCCCUAUGUCUCGGGUUCUGAUAAAGUAUAUGUACUCACCAUGUUUUGUGGGUAUCGAAUCUGAGAAAGUGCGUAUACUCGCCUGCUUAUGUGGGCCUCGGUUCCUUACAUAGUGGCUCAAGUCACCGCUUAAAAUGUCUUUGGGUCUAUGGUUCUGAUAUAAUUGUUAUAGUCCCCGCGUUCUGUGGAUCUCGGGUUCUAAUGUGGGCUGACUCACCACACUGGUGGGUCGCGAGGUCCGAUUAAGUGUGUAUAGAAACCACUUUCUGUGGGUUUUUGGGUAUAUGCAAUGUAUGGUACCUGGUUUUGAUAAAGCUAUUAUGAACAAGACAUGUGUCAAUAGGGCACAGAUGGCCCCUCAUUCCACUUUUGUCUCAAAUCUCCAUGCCUUUUACUUAGUAUAAAUAGAAGCUCUCCUUUGGAUUGUAUCCCUUUAACAAUAUUAAUUCCCUUGUCGAAAAUAGACAGUGUACCAGCCAAAUAACUAGUCACCCAAUUUUAAUAAGGGGCAUAUGUACUGUCUAAUGCGAUUGUACAUGUAAAGUAUCAAGCCGAUCGGUCAAUGCGUUGACGAGCUAGUGAUCGGAAACGAUUUACACACUAAUUGUGACUGUGACCUUUGACCUAGUGAACCCAAUUUCAAUAGAGGUCAUCUACUGGCCGAUUGGUGAAUCAGUUGACGAGUUAUUAAUCGGAAACGAUUUCACACUUUGAGUGACUGUGACCGAGUGACCCAAUUUUGAUAGGGUCAUCUACUGUCCAACGCCAAUGCACAUGUAGCCAAUUGGUCCAUCCGUUCACAAGUUAUUGGUCGGAAACAAUUAUAAUUCUAAGUGUGACCUUAACCUUUGACUGGGUGACCCCAAUUUCAAUAGGGACCAUCUGCUGGCAAAGCCCAAUGCACAUGGAAAGUAUCAAGCCAAUUGGACAAUCCGUUCACAAGUUAUUGAUCGGAAACGAACUGAUCUACCGACAGGCCGACCGACAUACAACAAAACAAUAUACCCCCUCUUCUUCGUCUUCUUCGAAGGUGCAUAAAACACCGUAUAAUGGUAUCGGGUUCCGACAAAGCGAGUAUUGAUACAACAGUCUGUGAGUUUCGGGUUCUGAUAUUGUUUGUUUUGUCACCAUUGUCUGUUUCCAAUAUAGCGGGUACGUGGGUUUCAUCUUAUGAAAUAGCGGGUAUAUACGCACUCCGGGAUGAUGGUCUCGAGAUCUGACAUAGUAGGUAUGAACAUAACGAUAUAUAUAUAUGCCUCGUGUUCUUAUUUAGUUUGUCAAAGGUUAUAAUUUACACAAAGAAAAUUACAAAUGCUACCAUAACACAAAAACAAGAACUGUUUGUAAAACAUGCAUGCCCCCCAUAUGGGCUGUCAGUUGUAGUGGCAGCCAUUUUGUGAAUACGUUUUUUGGCACUGUUACCUUGACCUUUGACCUAGUGACCUGAAAAUCAACAGGGGUCAUCUGCGAGUCAUGAUCAAUGUACCUAUGAAGUUUCAUGAUCCUAGGCGUAAGCUUUCGUGAGUUAUCAUCCGGAAACCAUUUUACUGUGUCAAGUCACCGUGACCUUUGACCUAGUGACCUGAAAGUCAAUAGGGGUCAUCUGCGAGUAAUGAUCAAUGUACCUAUGAAGCUUCAUGAUCCUAGGCGUAAGCGUUCUUGAGUUAUCAUCCGGAAACCAUUUUUCUAAGUUGAGUCACCGUGACCUUGACCUUUGACCUAUUGACCUGAAAAUAAUUAGGGGGCAUUUGCGAGUCAUGAUCAAUGUACCUAUGAAAUUUCAUGAUCAUAGGCAUAAGCGUUCUUGAGUUAUCAUCCGGAAACCAUUGUACUAUUUCGGGUCACCGUGACCUUGACCGUGUGACCUGAAAAUCAAUAGGGUUCAUCUGCGAGUCAUGAUCAAUGUACGUAUGAAGUUUCAUGAUCCAAGGCAUAAGCGUUCUUGAGUUAUCAUCCGGAAAUCAUUUUUACUAUUCCGGGUCACCGUGACCUUGACCUUUGACCUAGUGACCUGAAAAUCAAUAGGGGUCAUCUGCGAGUCAUGAUCAAUGUAUCUAUGAAGUUUCAUGAUCCUAGGCAUAAGCGUUCUUGAGUUACCAUCCGGCAACCAUUUUACUAUUUCGGGUCACCGUGACCUUUGACCAAGUGACCUGAAAAUCAAUAGGGGUCAUCUGCGGGCCAUAAUCAAUGUACCUAUGUAGUUUCAUGAUCCUAGGCAUAAGCGUUCUUGAGUUAUCAUCCGGAAACCAUUUUACUAUUUCGGGUCACCGUGACCUUUGACCUAUAGACCUAUUGACCUCAAAAGCAAUAGGGGUCAUCUGCAAGUCAUAAUCAAUGUACCUAUGAAGUUUCAUGAUCCUAGGCCUAAGCGUUCUUCAGUUAUCAUCCGGAAACCAUUUUUCUAAGUUGAGUCACCGUGACCUUGACCUUUGACCUAUUGACCUGAAAAUAAUUAGGGGGCAUUUGCGAGUCAUGAUCAAUGUUCCUAUGAAAUUUCAUGAUCAUAGGCAUAAGCGUUAUUGAGUUAUCAUCCGGAAACCAUUGUACUAUUUCGGGUCACCGUGACCUUGACCUAGUGACCUGAAAAUCAAUAGGGUUCAUCUGCGAGUCAUGAUCAAUGUACCUAUGAAGUUUCAUGAUCCAAGGCAUAAGCGUUCUUGAGUUAUUAUCCGGAAAUCAUUUUUACUAUUCCGGGUCACCGUGACCUUGACCUUUGACCUAGUGACCUGAAAAUCAAUAGGGUCAUCUGCGAGUCAUGAUCAAUGUAUCUAUGAAGUUUCAUGAUCAUAGGCAUAAGCGUUCUUGAGUUAUCAUCCGGAAACCAUUUUACUAUUUCGGGUCACCGUGACCUUUGACCAAGUGACCUGAAAAUCAAUAGGGGUCAUCUGCGGGUCAUAAUCAAUGUACCUAUGAAGUUUCAUGAUCCUAGGCAUAAGCGUUCUUGAGUUAUCAUCCGGAAACCAUUUUACUAUUUCGGGUCACCGUGACCUUUGACCUUUUGACCUCAAAAGCAAUAGGGGUCAUCUGCGAGUCAUGAUCAAUGUACCUAUGAAGUUUCAUGAUCCUAGGCCUAAGCGUUCUUGAGUUAUCAUCCGGAAACCAUCUGGUGAACGGACGGACAUACGGACGGACCGACAUGAGCAAAACAAUAUACCCCCUCUUCUUCGAA
This is a long non-coding RNA of Dreissena polymorpha, 8587 nucleotides long. RefSeq lists it as uncharacterized. The record is from RefSeq and is a predicted model, not a curated record. The transcript has 7 exons. NCBI's taxonomy places the organism in Eukaryota, Metazoa, Mollusca, Bivalvia, Myida, Dreissenidae.